RNAcentral lists this ribosomal RNA (438 nucleotides) under uncultured bacterium. Its description in RNAcentral is "bacterial SSU rRNA". It matches the Rfam family "Bacterial small subunit ribosomal RNA", at positions 69 to 479 of the family's 1533-position model. The record is from RNAcentral.
GACAUGGGAAGCUUGCUUCCUAUGAAAUCGAGUGGCAAACGGGUGAGUAACGCGUAAACAACCUGCCCUUCGGAUGGGGAUAACAGCCGGAAACGGCUGCUAAUACCGAAUACGAUCUUUUCGUCGCAUGACGGAAAGAAGAAAGGAUGGCCUCUAUACAAAGCUAUCGCCGAAGGAGGGGUUUGCGUCUGAUUAGCUGGUUGGAGGGGUAACGGCCCAACAAGGCGAUGAUCAGUAGCCGGUCUGAGAGGAUGAACGGCCACAUUGGGACUGAGACACGGCCCAGACUCCUACGGGAGGCAGCAGUGGGGAAUCUUCCGCAAUGGACGAAAGUCUGACGGAGCAACGCCGCGUGAGUGAAGAAGGUCUUCGGAUUGUAAAGCUCUGUUAUACGGGACGAAAAGACGGAUGCCAACAGUAUCCGUCCGUGACGGUACC